RNAcentral lists this long non-coding RNA (479 nucleotides) under Homo sapiens (human). RNAcentral's name for it is "HSALNT0320142". Lineage: Eukaryota; Metazoa; Chordata; Mammalia; Primates; Hominidae. The record is from RNAcentral.
AAAUUUUAUUUUGGCCAGGAGCUGAAGUUGGUUGUUUAGUAGUAGUAGUUUGAGUAGUGACCGAAGUAGUAGUCUGGUGUGUGGGUGCAAGAGUAGUUGGGGAAGAAUUAGGUGUGGUAAUUGGGGCAGCUGUGGUCUCUUGUGGAGCUGGGGAAGACGGUGGAGCUGGUGUAGUUGCAGAAGGUGUGGGUGGGGCAGCUGUGGUCUCUGGUGGAGCUGAGGAAGAUGGUGGAGCUUGUGUAGUUGCAGAAGGUGUGGGUGGGGCAGCUGUGGUGUCUUGUGGAGCUGGGGAAUUCACUGGUGCUAAUGUAGCUACAGAAGAGCUUGUGUUAACAUUUUCUCUUGAAGAUAUGGUGGUGGCAUUCUGGGGAAGAAAAGUCACAUUUGGAAGGGUAGUAAUUUUGGUGGAAGCUUAGGCCUACAGCGUUUGUGCAGACAUUUAUAGGACUUUCUAAUGAACGGCUUCUGGUGAGCUAGCA